AGUGAACGCUGGCGGUAGGCCUAACACAUGCAAGUCGAACGGCAGCACAGUAAGAGCUUGCUCUUACGGGUGGCGAGUGGCGGACGGGUGAGGAAUACAUCGGAAUCUACUUUUUCGGGGGGGAUAACGUAGGGAAACUUACGCUAAUACCGCAUACGACCUACGGGGGAAAGCAGGGGAUCUUCGGACCUUGCGCGAUUGAAUGAGCGGAUGUCGGAUUAGCUAGUUGGCGGGGUAAAGGCCCACCAAGGCGACGAUCCGUAGCUGGUCUGAGAGGAUGAUCAGCCACACUGGAACUGAGACACGGUCCAGACUCCUACGGGAGGCAGCAGUGGGGAAUAUUGGACAAUGGGCGCAAGCCUGAUCCAGCCAUACCGCGUGGGUGAAGAAGGCCUUCGGGUUGCAAAGCCCUUUUGUUGGGAAAGAAAAGCAGCAGGUUAAUACCCCGCUGUUCUGACGGUACCCAAAGAAUAAGCACCGGCUAACUUCGUG
This 492-nucleotide ribosomal RNA is filed under the name uncultured bacterium. RNAcentral describes it as "partial 16S ribosomal RNA". It matches the Rfam family "Bacterial small subunit ribosomal RNA", at positions 29 to 507 of the family's 1533-position model. The record is from RNAcentral.